Molecule: ribosomal RNA, 448 nt
Filed under: uncultured bacterium
Lineage: Bacteria
Description: bacterial SSU rRNA
Rfam family: Bacterial small subunit ribosomal RNA
Source: RNAcentral
GAUGAACGCUGGCGGCGUGCUUAACACAUGCAAGUCGAACGGGAAUUACUUUAUUGAAACUUCGGUCGAUUUAAUUUAAUUCUAGUGGCGGACGGGUGAGUAACGCGUGGGUAACCUGCCUUAUACAGGGGGAUAACAGUCAGAAAUGGCUGCUAAUACCGCAUAAGCGCACAGAGCUGCAUGGCUCAGUGUGAAAAACUCCGGUGGUAUAAGAUGGACCCGCGUUGGAUUAGCUUGUUGGUGAGGUAACGGCCCACCAAGGCGACGAUCCAUAGCCGGCCUGAGAGGGUGAACGGCCACAUUGGGACUGAGACACGGCCCAGACUCCUACGGGAGGCAGCAGUGGGGAAUAUUGCACAAUGGGGGAAACCCUGAUGCAGCGACGCCGCGUGAAGGAAGAAGUAUCUCGGUAUGUAAACUUCUAUCAGCAGGGAAGAUAGUGACGGUA